Molecule: ribosomal RNA, 253 nt
Filed under: uncultured bacterium
Lineage: Bacteria
Description: partial 16S ribosomal RNA
Rfam family: Bacterial small subunit ribosomal RNA
Source: RNAcentral
UACGGAGGGGGCGAGCGUUAUUCGGAAUUAUUGGGCGUAAAGGGCGCGUAGGCGGCCUUGCAAGUCAAAGGUGAAAUCCCUCGGCUCAACUGAGGAACUGCCUUUGAAACUGCACGGCUUGAGGCCGGGAGGGGGUAGCGGAAUUCCCAGUGUAGCGGUGAAAUGCGUAGAUAUCGAGAGGAACACCUGCGGCGAAGGCGGGUUGCUGGGCUGACACUGACGCUGAUGCGCGAAAGCCAGGGGAGCGAACGGG